Molecule: ribosomal RNA, 253 nt
Filed under: uncultured bacterium
Lineage: Bacteria
Description: partial 16S ribosomal RNA
Rfam family: Bacterial small subunit ribosomal RNA
Source: RNAcentral
UACGGGGGGGGCAAGCGUUGUUCGGAAUUACUGGGCGUAAAGGGCUCGUAGGCGGCCAACUAAGUCAGACGUGAAAUCCCUCGGCUUAACCGGGGAACUGCAUCUGAUACUGGAUGGCUUGAGUUCGGGAGAGGGAUGCGGAAUUCCAGGUGUAGCGGUGAAAUGCGUAGAUAUCUGGAGGAACACCGGUGGCGAAGGCGGCAUCCUGGACCGACACUGACGCUGAGACGCGAAAGCGUGGGGAGCGAACAGG